GUGCCAGCCGCCGCGGUAAUACAGAGGGGGCAAGCGUUAUUCGGAAUUAUUGGGCGUAAAGGGCGCGUAGGCGGCCUGGCAAGUGGAAGGUGAAAUCCCUCGGCUUAACCGAGGAACUGCCCUCCAAACUGCUUGGCUUGAGUCCGGGAGAGGUGAGUGGAAUUCCCAGUGUAGCGGUGAAAUGCGUAGAUAUUGGGAGGAACACCAGUGGCGAAGGCGGCUCACUGGACCGGAACUGACGCUGAGGCGCGAAAGCGUGGGGAGCAAACGGGAUUAGAUACCCCCGUAGUCC
Molecule: ribosomal RNA, 292 nt
Filed under: uncultured bacterium
Lineage: Bacteria
Description: partial 16S ribosomal RNA
Rfam family: Bacterial small subunit ribosomal RNA
Source: RNAcentral